GACGAACGCUGGCGGCGUGCUUAACACAUGCAAGUCGAACGAAGUGGCGAACGGGUGAGUAACGCGUAAUCAACCUGCCCUUCAGAGGGGGACAACAGUUGGAAACGACUGCUAAUACCGCAUACUGAAGGAGGGGAUUGCGUCUGAUUAGCUAGGUGGAGGGGUAACGGCCCACCAAGGCGAUGCUCAGUAGCCGGUCAGAGAGGCGUAACGUCAACAUUGGGACUGAGACACGCGCCAGACUCCUACGGGAGGGAGCAGGGGGGAAUCUUCCGCAAUGGACGAAAUUCUGACGGAGCAACGCCGCGUGAGUGAUGACGGCCUUCGGGUUGUAAAGCUCUGUUAGUCGGGACGCGGUACCGGAAUAGAAAGCCACGGCUAACUACGUGCCAGCAGCCGCGGUAAUAC
RNAcentral lists this ribosomal RNA (408 nucleotides) under uncultured bacterium. RNAcentral's name for it is "partial 16S ribosomal RNA". It matches the Rfam family "Bacterial small subunit ribosomal RNA", at positions 28 to 526 of the family's 1533-position model. The record is from RNAcentral.